UACGUAGGGGGCAAGCGUUAUCCGGAUUUACUGGGUGUAAAGGGAGCGCAGACGGCUAGGCAAGUCUGAAGUGAAACCCCACCGCUCAACGGUGGGCUUGCUUUGGAAACUGUCUGGCUAGAGUACUGGAGAGGUAAGCGGAAUUCCUAGUGUAGCGGAGAAAUGCGUAGAUAUUAGGAGGAACAUCGGUGGCGAAGGCGGCUUACUGGACAGCAACUGACGUUGAGGCUCGAAGGCGUGGGGAGCAAAC
RNAcentral lists this ribosomal RNA (250 nucleotides) under uncultured prokaryote. Its description in RNAcentral is "partial 16S ribosomal RNA". It matches the Rfam family "Bacterial small subunit ribosomal RNA", at positions 524 to 773 of the family's 1533-position model. The record is from RNAcentral.